This 613-nucleotide long non-coding RNA is filed under the name Homo sapiens (human). RNAcentral describes it as "non-protein coding lnc-NDFIP2-29:1". Lineage: Eukaryota; Metazoa; Chordata; Mammalia; Primates; Hominidae. The record is from RNAcentral.
UUCAUGACUGGCAUGUAUUGCAUAUUAGUGGUAGUGCCAUGUGUAUAGGAAACAAAUGUAAACUUGUGAAGUCUCCAGUUGUUGGAUGAGGCAUUACAAAGUAAUGCUGUCAAUUUUUGCUCAUAUAUUUUAAAUCUCUGCUAGUGGACACAACCACAUACAAAUGUUUGCUUAUGUUCCCUGUUGCAUGGUUUACCUUUCACAACCUAUUAUUUCUAUCUAUCGUGUCAUCAUAUUUUAAGAAUAUUUCUUAUAAGCAUGAUAGAGUUGGGUCUUCAUUUUCUUAGAGGGUCUAACAAUUUCUGCCCUUUGAGACAGGGGUUAAUCUAUUUAAUUUAAAUAUUUAUUGAUAUCUAGUCUUGGUUCCUCAGCUUCUCCUUUACUGCCUACAUUUAUUACUGCUAAUAAUAUUUUCAUAUUCAUAUUCAAUUUUACUUUAUUUAUUAGAAUGUAUAACUAUAUAAUGUUAUAUCUGCUUUAGUGGUUAUCCUGGAGAUUACAGAAUACAUUGAUAAUUUAUUACAAUCCACUUAGAAUUAGUAUUUAAUUAGUUUAUGUAAUAUAUAGAAAACUUGCAAGCAUGCAUUUCCUUUUUCCUCUCUAUAGUACUACU